CAGAUGCCACUAUCAUGUUCUAACGGACACUAAUCUGUAUCACAUUGAUCAACAAAGUAAACUGUGUCAUUAAAAAUAGAGGAUGUCC
Molecule: long non-coding RNA, 88 nt
Organism: Sphaeramia orbicularis (orbiculate cardinalfish)
Lineage: Eukaryota; Metazoa; Chordata; Actinopteri; Kurtiformes; Apogonidae
Exons: 3
Source: RefSeq, a predicted model, not a curated record